RNAcentral lists this long non-coding RNA (1085 nucleotides) under Equus asinus (donkey). RNAcentral's name for it is "lncRNA (ENSEASG00005032217.1)". Lineage: Eukaryota; Metazoa; Chordata; Mammalia; Perissodactyla; Equidae. The record is from RNAcentral.
CGGGAGGGGAGACGGCGGAGCGUCCAGGCUGCCGGCUGGCAAUUUCAGCUUCAGGUGGCUGGAUCUGCAGCCCUGGGAGAACCGCAGAGCCGUCUCCGAGCCUCCUGGGGGAGAAGAACGGAUCUGCGUGACCUCUGGGGCUGCACAUCCCGUUGUGGAACCCACUAUGCCUAGAUGAGCGAAGCAGUGAACGGGCACAUGCUCGUGAAUCACAGCUUUCAAGAGCAGAUGCUCUGCAACCAGAUCAUUCGGUUGCCUUCUUCACUUAUUAGCUGUGUGUCCUCGGGCAAGUUGCUUAACCUCUCUGAGCCAUAUUUUUCUCAUCUGUAAAGAGGAGAUGGAAGCAGUCUUGACUUGAAAGGGUGGUGGUGAGGAGUCAAUGAGAUCACCCAUGUAAAGUGCUGAAAGCAGGGCCUGGUACCUUGUCAGCUAUGACUAGUGGGAAAAUAUUUCUUCCUGGAAAUAAGGCUGAAACAGUGGCCAGAGUCAGAAAGUCAGACUGAGGACUCAGGAGAGAAAGUUUGUCAUCGACUCUCCUCUGCUGCAGGGCAGUGCUGGUGCAGGCUGGGGCUGAACCCCUCUUUGCAGCCAGCAGGCGAUGAGAGUCGGUGGGGACUGGGCAGUCUGAGCCCUGCCUCCAGCUUGUGUAUGACCAGAGGGGUUCCCCGUGCACACUGUGGGAGACCAGCAUACCAUGGGCUGGUUGGAGGCUUGGGUGGCUCAAUGGGGCGGACGUGCUUUGCGAGCAGGAGGACGAACAGGGCUCCCGAGCCGGAGCUGCAAACCCGGGCAGCUGCUGGCCAGGGACGUUGCCUGUCAGGAUCUCAACUCACUCACCCUCUGCCCAAUUGGCAGCUCCAGUUCCUCGCUUAUGAGAAUAAUCUUUCCCCAACUAAUCUAUGGACGGACCACCUCACAUUACCUAGCAGGCUCUAUUUAUACAUGAAUACUACCAGCACCCCUGGCCAGCCCCAGCCUGGUCCCAUUGGAAUCCCGGAGCUGGGACUCAGAAUCCUGUCUUCAUAACAAGUUUCCCCAGGACUCAACAGUACUGCCCAUUUGGAAAUGGUUGUGUACGGACCCAC